AACGCUGGCGGCAUGGAUUAGGCAUGCAAGUCGAACGAAGCAGCAAUGCUUAGUGGCGCAAGGGUGAGGAACACGUGAGUGACCUACCCGCAAGUUUGGAACAGCUCCUGGAAACGGGAAUUAAUACCGGAUGUGAUCAUGAAGCUGCAUGGUUUCAUGAUUAAAGCAGCAAUGCGCUUGCGGAUGGGCUCGCGUCCCAUUAGCUAGUUGGUGAGGUAACGGCCCACCAAGGCCAUGAUGGGUAGCUGGUCUGAGAGGACGACCAGCCACACUGGGACUGAGAACUGCCCAGACUCCUACGGGAGGCUGCAGUCGAGAAUUUUGGGCAAUGGACGAAAGUCUGACCCAGCAAUGCCGCGUGCGGGAUGAAGGUCUUCGGAUUGUAAACCGCUGUUUGGAGGGACGAAAAUUGACGGUACUUCCAGAGGAAGCCACGGCUAACUACGUGCCAGCCGCCGC
RNAcentral lists this ribosomal RNA (459 nucleotides) under uncultured bacterium. RNAcentral's name for it is "bacterial SSU rRNA". It matches the Rfam family "Bacterial small subunit ribosomal RNA", at positions 32 to 518 of the family's 1533-position model. The record is from RNAcentral.